Molecule: non-coding RNA, 94 nt
Filed under: Chromera velia
Lineage: Eukaryota; Chromeraceae
Source: RNAcentral
GAAAGAAAUGGAAGGAGAAAAAAAGACCAAAUAACGUGUGAUGACGAUCUUGUGUCGAUUUUCUCUCUUUCUUUCCCGCUGCUUUUUUCUUUCC